UGAAUACGAGACGCUAAGGCGUCGAAGUAGUGUAUGUCAUACUUCCAAGAAAAGCUUGCACUGUCAUAGAUAAAAAACGCCUGUACCAUAACCGACACAGGUGGGUAGGUAGAGUAUACUAAGGGGCGCGAGAUAACUCUCUCUAAGGAACUCGGCAAAAUAACUCCGUAACUUCGGGAGAAGGAGUGCCUUAUUCGUAAGGUUGCAAUAACAAGAUCCAAGCAACUGUUUAUCAAAAACACAGGUCUCCGCUAAGUCGUAAGACGAUGUAUGGGGGCUGACGCCUGCCCAGUGCCAGAAGGUUAAAGAAGUUGGUUAGCAAUUGCGAAGCUGAUAACUGAAGCCCUGGUGAACGGCGGCCGUAACCAUAACGGUCCUAAGGUAGCGAAAUUCCUUGUCGGGUAAGUUCCGACCCGCACGAAAGGCGUAAUGAUUUGGAUACUGUCUCGGAGAGGGGCUCGGUGAAAUAGACUUGUCUGUGAAGAUGCGGACUACCUGCACCAGGACAGAAAGACCCUAUGAAGCUUUACUGUAACUUGAAAUUGAAAUUGGACUUUAUUCGCGCAGUAUAGGUGGGAGGCGUUGAUUAUAAUCUUGUGGGAUUAUUGGAGCCAUCAGUGAGAUACCACUCUUGUAACGUUAGAUUUCUAACUUUGAAUCAUUAUCUGGUCAAAGAACAGUUUCAGGCGGCAGUUUGACUGGGGCGGUCGCCUCCUAAACGGUAACGGAGGCGUACAAAGGUUUCCUCUGAACGGUUAGAAAUCGUAUCUAGAGUGUAAAGGCAUAAGGAAGCUUGACUGUGAGACCUACGAGUCGAGCAGGGACGAAAGUCGGUCUUAGUGAUCUGACGGUACUGAGUGGAAAGGCCGUCACUCAACGGAUAAAAGUUACUCUAGGAUAACAGGCUGAUCUCCCCCAAGAGUUCACAUCGACGGGGAGGUUUGGCACCUCGAUGUCGGCUCAUCGCAUCCUGGGGCGGUAGUACGUCCCAAGGGUUGGGCUGUUCGCCCAUGAAAGCGGUACGCGAGCUGGGUUCAGAACGUCGUGAGACAGUUCGGUCCAUAUCCGGUGUAGGCGUUAGAAUAUUGAGAGGAGCCUUCUUUAGUACGAGAGGGCCGAGAAGGACAUACCUCUGGUGUACCAGUUAUCGUGCCAACGGUAAACGCUGGGUAGCUAUGUAUGGAGUGGAUAACCGCUGAAAGCAUCUAAGUGGGAAGCCCACCUCAAGAUAAGUAUUCUCAC
RNAcentral lists this ribosomal RNA (1242 nucleotides) under metagenome. RNAcentral's name for it is "bacterial LSU rRNA". It matches the Rfam family "Bacterial large subunit ribosomal RNA", at positions 1564 to 2817 of the family's 2925-position model. The record is from RNAcentral.